RNAcentral lists this ribosomal RNA (503 nucleotides) under uncultured bacterium. RNAcentral describes it as "partial 16S ribosomal RNA". It matches the Rfam family "Bacterial small subunit ribosomal RNA", at positions 28 to 523 of the family's 1533-position model. The record is from RNAcentral.
GAUGAACGCUGGCGGCAGGCUUAACACAUGCAAGUCGAGCGGAGUGAUGGUGCUUGCACUAUCACUUAGCGGCGGACGGGUGAGUAAUGCUUAGGAAUCUGCCUAUUAGUGGGGGACAACAUCUCGAAAGGGAUGCUAAUACCGCAUACGUCCUACGGGAGAAAGCAGGGGAUCACUUGUGACCUUGCGCUAAUAGAUGAGCCUAAGUCGGAUUAGCUAGUUGGUGGGGUAAAGGCCUACCAAGGCGACGAUCUGUAGCGGGUCUGAGAGGAUGAUCCGCCACACUGGGACUGAGACACGGCCCAGACUCCUACGGGAGGCAGCAGUGGGGAAUAUUGGACAAUGGGGGGAACCCUGAUCCUGCCAUGCCGCGUGUGUGAAGAAGGCCUUAUGGUUGUAAAGCACUUUAAGCGAGGAGGAGGCUUACCUAGUUAAUACCUGGGAUAAGUGGACGUUACUCGCAGAAUAAGCACCGGCUAACUCUGUGCCAGCCGCCGCGGUAA